CGACAGUAUAAAUGCCUCCUCAACCCGAAUCGUUCGAGAUGGAGACUGGAUCUAAAUAGAUUCUUUAUCCUGAACUCACG
RNAcentral lists this non-coding RNA (80 nucleotides) under Legionella longbeachae NSW150. Its description in RNAcentral is "Legionella RNA 69". It matches the Rfam family "Legionella RNA 69". The record is from Rfam by way of RNAcentral. Lineage: Bacteria; Pseudomonadati; Pseudomonadota; Gammaproteobacteria; Legionellales; Legionellaceae.